CCCGUUGUACACACCGCCCGUCACACCAUGGGAGUGGUUGUACCAGAAGUAGGUAGAAUAACCGCAAGGGGUUCGCUUACCACGGUAUGAUUCAUGACUGGGGUG
RNAcentral lists this ribosomal RNA (105 nucleotides) under uncultured bacterium. Its description in RNAcentral is "partial 16S ribosomal RNA". It matches the Rfam family "Bacterial small subunit ribosomal RNA", at positions 1377 to 1482 of the family's 1533-position model. The record is from RNAcentral.